Molecule: long non-coding RNA, 1172 nt
Filed under: Salvator merianae (Argentine black and white tegu)
Lineage: Eukaryota; Metazoa; Chordata; Lepidosauria; Squamata; Teiidae
Description: lncRNA (ENSSMRG00000012340.1)
Source: RNAcentral
CUCAGGGGUCUGUCCUCUCCCCCCUGCUAUUCAACAUUUACAUGAAACCGCUGGGUGAGAUCAUCCGUAGUUAUGGGGUGAGUUACCAUCAAUACACUGAUGAUACUCAGCUGUACAUUUCCACCCCGCACCAAUUCAGUGAAGCGGUCGAUGUAAUGUGCCGGUGUCUGGAGGCUGUCAGGGUCUGGAUGGGCGUCAACAGGCUUAGACUCAACCCUGACAAGACGGAAUGGCUGUGGGUGUUACCUCCCAAGGACUCGGCCAUCUGUCCAUCCAUUACUUUGGGGGGGGGGGAAUUGUUGACCUCCUCAGAGAAGGUCUGUAACCUGGGUGUGCUCCUUGAUCCGCAGCUGACUUUGGAACAUCAUCUGUCGGCUGUGGCGAGGGGAGCAUUUGCCCAGGUUUGGUUAGUCCAUCAGUUACGGCCUUAUUUGGAUAGGGAGUCCCUCCUUACAGUUGCUCAUGCCCUCAUCACCUCGAGGAUCGACUACUGCAAUGCUCUCUACAUGGGGCUACCUUUGAAGAGUGUCCGGAGACUGCAGGUAGUCCAAAAUGCAGCCGCGCGAGCUAUCUCUGGCUUGCCUAGAUAUGCCAGUGUCUCUCCAACACUCCGCGAGCUGCAUUGGCUGCCGGUUAGUCUCCGUACCCAAUUCAAAGUGUUGGUUGUUACCUANAAAGCCCUACAUGGCUUAGGACCAGGUUACUUACGGGACCGUCUCCUGCCUCAUGUAUCCCAGCGGCCGGUCAGGAGCCACAGAGUUGGCCUUCUCCAGGUCCCGUCAGCCAAUCAAUGUCGGCUGGCGGGCCCCAGGGGAAGGGCCUUCUCUGUGGCAGCUCUGACCCUGUGGAACCAGCUUCCCCUAGAGAUCCGUACUGCCCCUACUCUCCUGGCCUUUCGGAAGAUUUUAAAAACACACCUUUGCCGGCAGGCCUGGGGUCACGGAAUUUGAUGCUCCACUUGAUUGGUAGGAUGACUGUGUAGUGUGAAUGUUAGUUAGGAAUGUAUGCUAGGUUUGGGGUUUUAGAUAGAUUUUAAAUUGUAAUUUUAGAUGGUUGCAAAUUGCAAUUUUAGAUGGGUUUUUAAAUUGGAUAGAGAUUGGAUUAUUUUAUCAUUAUCAUGUAUAUUUAUAUGUUGUAAGCCGCCCCGAGUCUUCGGAGAGGGGCGGCAUAUA